AAAUAGAUACCCGGGUAGUCCACGCCGUAAACGAUGAUAACUAGCUGUCCGGGCUCAUGGAGCUUGGGUGGCGCAGCUAACGCAUUAAGUUAUCCGCCUGGGGAGUACGGUCGCAAGAUUAAAACUCAAAGGAAUUGACGGGGGCCUGCACAAGCGGUGGAGCAUGUGGUUUAAUUCGAAGCAACGCGCAGAACCUUACCAGCCUUUGACAUGCCUAGUAUGGUUUCCAGAGAUGGAUUCCUUGUCUUCGGACGCUAGGACACAGGUGCUGCAUGGCUGUCGUCGGCUCGUGUCGUGAGAUGUUGGGUUAAGUCCCGCAACGAGCGCAACCCUCGUCCUUAGUUGCCAUCAUUCAGUUGGGCACUCUAAGGAAACCGCCGGUGAUAAGCCGGAGGAAGUGGGGAUGACGUCAAGUCCUCAUGGCCCUUACAGGCUGGGCUACACACGUGCUACAAUGGCGGUGACAGUGGGCAGCAAACUCGCGAGAGUGAGCUAAUCUCCAAAAGCCGUCUCAGGUUCGG
RNAcentral lists this ribosomal RNA (521 nucleotides) under uncultured bacterium. RNAcentral describes it as "bacterial SSU rRNA". It matches the Rfam family "Bacterial small subunit ribosomal RNA", at positions 776 to 1296 of the family's 1533-position model. The record is from RNAcentral.